CCUACGGGCGGCUGCAGUGGGGAAUAUUGGACAAUGGGGGCAACCCUGAUCCAGCCAUGCCGCGUGUGUGAAGAAGGCCCUCGGGUUGUAAAGCACUUUCAGUGAGGAAGAACGCCUGGUGGUUAAUACCCAUCAGGAAAGACAUCACGCACAGAAGAAGCACCGGCUAACUCCGUGCCAGCAGCCGCGGUAAUACGGAGGGUGCGAGCGUUAAUCGGAAUUACUGGGCGUAAAGCGCGCGUAGGUGGCUUGAUAAGCCGGUUGUGAAAGCCCCGGGCUCAACCUGGGAACGGCAUCCGGAACUGUCAAGCUAGAGUGCAGGAGAGGAAGGUAGAAUUCCCGGUGUAGCGGUGAAAUGCGUAGAGAUCGGGAGGAAUACCAGUGGCGAAGGCGGCCUUCUGGACUGACACUGACACUGAGGUGCGAAAGCGUGGGUAGCAAACAGGAUUAGAUACCCCAGUAGUC
Molecule: ribosomal RNA, 465 nt
Filed under: Vreelandella stevensii
Lineage: Bacteria; Pseudomonadati; Pseudomonadota; Gammaproteobacteria; Oceanospirillales; Halomonadaceae
Description: partial 16S ribosomal RNA
Rfam family: Bacterial small subunit ribosomal RNA
Source: RNAcentral